This 228-nucleotide unclassified non-coding RNA is filed under the name Hevea brasiliensis (rubber tree). Lineage: Eukaryota; Viridiplantae; Streptophyta; Magnoliopsida; Malpighiales; Euphorbiaceae. The record is from RNAcentral.
AGGGGGAAAGAUCCCUUUGCAGUUUUGUUCUCAACCCUUCAGCUGCACUCUCUCAUCGUCCAACUUCCACGCAGCCACCACCAACGCGGGCGACGAGCGAUGCUUGAAGGACGCUAUUCUUAAAUUGGGGAAGUCCAUUUACUUUGGCAACUCAGUGCAUUGAGCUGUUAGUGAACACGGAGAAGACGGUUUUCUCAGCUGCUGAAUUUUGCAAUGGCUUUUCUGUUU